GGGUGGAAGCGCGCCGCGCCCUCCAUCUUGGUGCCCCGCGAGCGGAGUUGGCUGGAGGGGCGCGAGCUCUGGGGACCUUCGUAGCGAGGUGUGGCUGAGCAAGCUACCAACUCCCACUAGCACCAGCACCGGCCAUUGGCAGCAACCUAAGCGACUAGGCCCUUGCCAUGGUGUUGAAGGGGGGAAGUUUGGGAAUGGUCCUGCAGGCCCCUUUCCCCCCAAUGUAGUAGUGGCCCCUCUGCGUCUACCGCCUCUGACCUGUGCGGACCAAAAGAGGAUAUCCUUCCUGAAUGGGCUUUGGGAAAGGUUGGCCAAUUGCUUGGCCCACUUUCAGUAAAGUGGCUUGAUCGUAUUUUUCUACUUCUCUUGGUCCUGACUUGCUCACCGGCUUGUCUUGUGUCUUGUGUGUAUUUUGUACCCAAGACCCUCUCUGGAAGUAGGCAGGUGUAAGUAAAGUUCAAGGCAAAUAAAUACAAGAGUUUGCCU
This 486-nucleotide long non-coding RNA is filed under the name Rattus norvegicus (Norway rat). RNAcentral describes it as "long non-coding RNA NONRATT017618". The record is from RNAcentral. Lineage: Eukaryota; Metazoa; Chordata; Mammalia; Rodentia; Muridae.